This 71-nucleotide transfer RNA is filed under the name Bos taurus (domestic cattle). It matches the Rfam family "tRNA". From Rfam's summary of the family: Transfer RNA (tRNA) molecules are approximately 80 nucleotides in length. Their secondary structure includes four short double-helical elements and three loops (D, anti-codon, and T loops). The record is from Rfam by way of RNAcentral. RNAcentral also lists the same sequence under 5 other names. Lineage: Eukaryota; Metazoa; Chordata; Mammalia; Artiodactyla; Bovidae.
UCCCUUGUGGCUCAGUUGGUAAAGAAUCCACCUGCAAUGUGGGAGACCUGGGUUCGAUCCCUGCGUUGGGA